RNAcentral lists this ribosomal RNA (423 nucleotides) under uncultured bacterium. Its description in RNAcentral is "bacterial SSU rRNA". It matches the Rfam family "Bacterial small subunit ribosomal RNA", at positions 355 to 775 of the family's 1533-position model. The record is from RNAcentral.
UAAGGAAUAUUGGUCAAUGGUGGCAACACUGAACCAGCCAUGCCGCGUGCAGGAUGAAGGUUCUAUGAAUUGUAAACUGCUUUUAUACGGGAAAAAACUUUCGAACGUGUUCGGAACUGAUGGUACCGUAAGAAUAAGGAUCGGCUAACUUCGUGCCAGCAGCCGCGGUAAGACGAAGGAUCCAAGCGUUAUCCGGAUUUAUUGGGUUUAAAGGGUGCGUAGGUGGACUUGUAAGUCAGCGGUGAAAGCCCGAUGCUUAACAUCGGAACUGCCAUUGAUACUGCAAGUCUUGAAUAUGUUUGAAGUGGGCGGAAUGUGUCGUGUAGCGGUGAAAUGCUUAGAUAUGACACAGAACACCGAUUGCGAAGGCAGCUCACUAAACCAUUAUUGACACUGAGGCACGAAAGCGUGGGGAGCAAACAG